UACGAAAGGAGCAGGUGUUAUUCAGAUUAACUGGGCGUAAAGGGCACGUAGGUGGUUUGUUAUGUGUACUAUUAAAUUAUAAAGCAUAACUUUAUAACGUAGUGUAGACAACUAAACUAGAGUUAAGUAGAGAGUAGUAGAAUUUCUAAUGUAAAGGUGAAAUUUGAUAAAAUUAGAGAGAAUACCAAUGGCGAAGGCAACUACUUGGGCUUUAACUGACACUGAGGUGCGAAGGUGUGGGGAGCAAAUAGGAUUAGAUACCCUAGUAGUCCAUACAGUAAACGAUGAAUAUUAAGUGUUGGAACAAAUUUCAGCAUUACAGCUAACGCGUUAAAUAUUCCGCCUGGGGAGUACAACCGCAAGGUUGAA
This 369-nucleotide ribosomal RNA is filed under the name uncultured bacterium. RNAcentral's name for it is "bacterial SSU rRNA". It matches the Rfam family "Bacterial small subunit ribosomal RNA", at positions 524 to 898 of the family's 1533-position model. The record is from RNAcentral.